This 616-nucleotide non-coding RNA is filed under the name Oryza sativa Indica Group (long-grained rice). RNAcentral describes it as "Bacterial small subunit ribosomal RNA". It matches the Rfam family "Bacterial small subunit ribosomal RNA", at positions 916 to 1533 of the family's 1533-position model. Lineage: Eukaryota; Viridiplantae; Streptophyta; Magnoliopsida; Poales; Poaceae. The record is from Rfam by way of RNAcentral.
GGGGCCCGCACAAGCGGUGGAGCAUGUGGUUUAAGUCGAAGCAACGCGCAGAACCUUACCAUCCCUUGACAUGGCAUGCGAACCGGAGAGAUCCGGUGUUCCCUUCGGGGACGUGCACACAGGUGCUGCAUGGCUGUCGUCAGCUCGUGUCGUGAGAUGUUGGGUUAAGUCCCGCAACGAGCGCAACCCACGUCCUCAGUUGCCAUCAUUCAGUUGGGCACUCUGGGGAGACUGCCGGUGAUAAGCCGCGAGGAAGGUGUGGAUGACGUCAAGUCCUCAUGGCCCUUACGGGAUGGGCUACACACGUGCUACAAUGGCGGUGACAAUGGGCAGCGAAGGGGCGACCUGGAGCGAAUCCCCAAAAGCCGUCUCAGUUCGGAUUGCACUCUGCAACUCGGGUGCAUGAAGGCGGAAUCGCUAGUAAUCGUGGAUCAGCAUGCCACGGUGAAUACGUUCCCGGGCCUUGUACACACCGCCCGUCACACCAUGGGAGUUGGUCUUACCCGACGGCGCUGCGCCAACCGCAAGGAGGCAGGCGACCACGGUAGGGUCAGCGACUGGGGUGAAGUCGUAACAAGGUAGCCGUAGGGGAACCUGCGGCUGGAUCACCUCCUUU